GAUGAACGCUGGCGGCGUGCCUAAUACAUGCAAGUCGAGCGAACGGACGAGAAGCUUGCUUCUCUGAUGUUAGCGGCGGACGGGUGAGUAACACGUGGAUAACCUACCUAUAAGACUGGGAUAACUUCGGGAAACCGGAGCUAAUACCGGAUAAUAUUUUGAACCGCAUGGUUCAAAAGUGAAAGACGGUCUUGCUGUCACUUAUAGAUGGAUCCGCGCUGCAUUAGCUAGUUGGUAAGGUAACGGCUUACCAAGGCAACGAUGCAUAGCCGACCUGAGAGGGUGAUCGGCCACACUGGAACUGAGACACGGUCCAGACUCCUACGGGAGGCAGCAGUAGGGAAUCUUCCGCAAUGGGCGAAAGCCUGACGGAGCAACGCCGCGUGAGUGAUGAAGGUCUUCGGAUCGUAAAGCUCUGUUAUCAGGGAAGAACAUAUGUGUAAGUAACUGUGCACAUCUUGACGGUACCUAAUCAGAAAGCCACGGCUAACUACGUGCCAGCAGCCGCGGUAAUACGUAGGUGGCAAGCGUUAUCCGGAAUUAUUGGGCGUAAAGCGCGCGUAGGCGGUUUUUUAAGUCUGAUGUGAAAGCCCACGGCUCAACCGUGGAGGGUCAUUGGAAACUGGAAAACUUGAGUGCAGAAGAGGAAAGUGGAAUUCCAUGUGUAGCGGUGAAAUGCGCAGAGAUAUGGAGGAACACCAGUGGCGAAGGCGACUUUCUGGUCUGUAACUGACGCUGAUGUGCGAAAGCGUGGGGAUCAAACAGGAUUAGAUACCCUGGUAGUCCACGCCGUAAACGAUGAGUGCUAAGUGUUAGGGGGUUUCCGCCCCUUAGUGCUGCAGCUAACGCAUUAAGCACUCCGCCUGGGGAGUACGACCGCAAGGUUGAAACUCAAAGGAAUUGACGGGGACCCGCACAAGCGGUGGAGCAUGUGGUUUAAUUCGAAGCAACGCGAAGAACCUUACCAAAUCUUGACAUCCUUUGACAACUCUAGAGAUAGAGCUUUCCCCUUCGGGGGACAAAGUGACAGGUGGUGCAUGGUUGUCGUCAGCUCGUGUCGUGAGAUGUUGGGUUAAGUCCCGCAACGAGCGCAACCCUUAAGCUUAGUUGCCAUCAUUAAGUUGGGCACUCUAAGUUGACUGCCGGUGACAAACCGGAGGAAGGUGGGGAUGACGUCAAAUCAUCAUGCCCCUUAUGAUUUGGGCUACACACGUGCUACAAUGGACAAUACAAAGGGCAGCGAAACCGCGAGGUCAAGCAAAUCCCAUAAAGUUGUUCUCAGUUCGGAUUGUAGUCUGCAACUCGACUACAUGAAGCUGGAAUCGCUAGUAAUCGUAGAUCAGCAUGCUACGGUGAAUACGUUCCCGGGUCU
RNAcentral lists this ribosomal RNA (1372 nucleotides) under uncultured bacterium. RNAcentral describes it as "bacterial SSU rRNA". It matches the Rfam family "Bacterial small subunit ribosomal RNA", at positions 28 to 1381 of the family's 1533-position model. The record is from RNAcentral.